Ornithorhynchus anatinus (platypus) is the source of this 137-nucleotide small nucleolar RNA. The record is from RefSeq and is a predicted model, not a curated record. Lineage: Eukaryota; Metazoa; Chordata; Mammalia; Monotremata; Ornithorhynchidae.
ACCCUCUCAGUGUCACACCUAGAGAGUUUUCAGUACUCUACCAGUCCAGGCUCUGGGAGGGAGAUCAAACAGAAGUAUACCCAUUCCAUUCCUAGCUUGGGCAGUGGCUAGCGAGUGGAAGGCAAUCUGCUACAAGU